GCCGGAGUGGCGGAAAUGGCAGACGCAAGGGACUUAAAAUCCCUCGGAUGGUUAACAUCCGUGCCGGUUCGAUUCCGGCCUCCGGCACCA
RNAcentral lists this transfer RNA (90 nucleotides) under Bacillota bacterium. Its description in RNAcentral is "Firmicutes bacterium (anaerobic digester metagenome) tRNA-Leu". It matches the Rfam family "tRNA". Rfam says of the family: Transfer RNA (tRNA) molecules are approximately 80 nucleotides in length. Their secondary structure includes four short double-helical elements and three loops (D, anti-codon, and T loops). Further hydrogen bonds mediate the characteristic L-shaped molecular structure. tRNAs have two regions of fundamental functional importance: the anti-codon, which is responsible for specific mRNA codon recognition, and the 3' end, to which the tRNAs corresponding amino acid is attached (by aminoacyl-tRNA synthetases). tRNAs cope with the degeneracy of the genetic code in two manners: having more than one tRNA (with a specific anti-codon) for a particular amino acid; and 'wobble' base-pairing, i.e. permitting non-standard base-pairing at the 3rd anti-codon position. The record is from RNAcentral. Lineage: Bacteria; Bacillati; Bacillota.